UCAACGGCUCUUUUGAGGGCCACCAGACUUUUACUGAAAAAGGAUG
Daphnia magna is the source of this 46-nucleotide non-coding RNA. The record is from Rfam. Lineage: Eukaryota; Metazoa; Arthropoda; Branchiopoda; Diplostraca; Daphniidae.